UUUAGUUUUUAAUGAUAAAAUUUGGGCAUGGAGAAGAUUUUCUCAAAUUCUGUACAAAGUUUUGGACACAGUACAUAAUGCUUUUCUUAGCUACUCCCUGUGUGCAUUCUUUGUAUCCAUAUAGAAUCCCAGGGUCUUCCCACUGAAUGAAAAGGACUUUCCAAUGCCACUGUUGCAAAGAGAAUGAAGAACAUCUUCCUUCUCCAGGAACAGGGACCAUCUUUAAUAUAAUCCAAUUUGUGGCUAGAGGAAUAACGCAGUGGUACAGUACUUCCCCUGGGCUCAAUCUACAAUUCUGUACAAAAACCAAGCAAGCCCAAACUUAUUCAACCUAAUAAUAGAGCAAACUUCCUAUCAUAGUUCAUAUGCAAGAGUGAACCAUAGCUCUUUGUGUACUCAAGUAUGUAGUGAGAAGUUUGGUUUCUUUAAAAGCAGAAAAAUGUUACAGGAAUUGGGUUUUGUUUUGAUCCCAGGUGUGGUAAAUGGGGCUGCUUCACAGUAGCACACUAUCAUUUGCCUCGUGCUCUGACAGGGGCAUAUUUUUGCCAGCUGCAGAUAGUUUUUGCAAGUGUAUGACAUUUGGAAUUCUGGAGACUCUUGAGAGGGUAUAAAAAAUGCUAGAGCUCCGAGGAGAGCAGAGGCCUGUUGUGGCUGCUGCUGUUCAUGCUGCUGCUGGUUGCUGCUGCUGUUGCUUUGCUGGUUAGAGCUAUCCUGACAGCAAGAUCAAAAUUGCCCCAGGGAACUUGAUGCUCCUAAUCAGCAGGUUGCAGUCUAAUGAUAUUGAUGCCCCCUUUCCCCUCUAGCUUUCUUUCUCUACUACCUAGUGCUGGGGGUGGGGGGAGCCGAGGGUGGAAGGGAUAAGGGUGGAAAGGGUGAUAGAAAUAGAAGCCCAUAAAGUACCCAAAAUCCAGUUACACAAAUACGUGUAAGCAAACUAAUCAUAACUAGAGAAAUAAUGUUAUAUGAUUUCAAGCGGUAGAUAGAAAUUUUAGUAUUGUUUUGCAACAGCUUGUGUUAUGAAGUAAUGACAUCAAUAUGUAUCUCAUAGUAUCACUAUGAUUAUUAUGUUUGUAAAGAACUCAAGCUAGAAUUGGACUCACAGUAAAUGCUAAAGAAUUGCUUAAUGAGUAAACAAAUCCAUCCAUCAGUAAUUCUGCUCUGCUGUUGCCACAUGGAUUCUAAUCUUUAUGUUAGGCAUUACAGUACUCUUUUCGGUAUGAUUCCUAUUCUCUUUCUUUCACACUUCAUCUCUUAAGUCUUAACAUUCAAAUUCUGCCUUUCAACAUCUUUCUUGACAGUGCUUGUCUGUACCAGCCUCACCUGUAUUCUCUGUAGCACAUCUGCGCAAAUGCAGCAUCUAACAUAUAUUCUUCUUACUAAGGGCUCUAAGCCUGGAGGAAGGCAGUAGGAUUCUGACAUUUCUAGGUUCAACCUGUAGAAUUUACAGGAUGCGACUCCUAGAUAGAAACAAAAGAUACCCAGUUUAAACAAGCGUCCUAACAAAGCAGAUAUAAGUCCCUAAUCAAGAAACACUGAUCAAAAUAAUCUCUUCUUUGGUUAUGGAAAGAUCUUUAUCAACAAAACUGUAAACGUCUUGUUUUCCUGUAUCUCUCCCUGUGCUGAUGGAAUUAUGACUGCUACUGAAUAAUAUUGUUUUUUUUUACUGCAAGAGCUCUGGGUGUGGUCCAGGAUAUGUAACUAGGGACUGGGAAGGACAAAGAGAAUUAUGCAUGGAUAAUUUACCUAGUGGCAGCUACACUGUGUCAUGGAUGCUUACAAGUUCACAUUUGUACAUGUUUCUGGAGCCAGCGAAGACAGGAUAGUUAUCCCUACUGAAGGUAACUAUAUUACUUUAAAUUUUUCAAAUGUCAGCUGGCUUUUUGCUGGAGCUAUGUAAUCCUCUGCAAUGUGAUAUGCAGCUCACUCAUGAAUCUGUGGUCUUAAAUCUGUUUCUUCUGACACUGAGUCUCCUCUUGGGGACAAUAGGGAAAACAGUGAAAGCUUUCUCGUGACAAUAGCAGAGGACAAGGUGAUAUCAGAGAUGUGGAAGUCCAUUUCAAGCCUCUGGCUAUAUUGCAUCAGUCACACCAAGGAAGAAGCCCAUUGAAGAGGGAAGAAGCUCUAAAUUGUAUGACAAAAGUUAUAAAUGCAGAUUAAUCUGCUGGGUCUCAGGGGUUUGAACCUAGCUCAGCCAGCAAACAGGCUACCUUUUAAUGUCCCACAUCCUCCUAGCUGCCUGAAGAAGAAAAUCUCCUCCUGGCUGCCUUCAGCUGAAGAUAUGGAACUCUUGGCUUCUCCAGCAGCAUGUCUGCCUGCGUAAUGUCAUGCUUCUCACCAUGAUGAUAAUGGACUGAACCUCUGAAACUGGAAGCAAGAUCAAGGCAUUGGAUCUCCUGGAGCUGGAGAUACAGGUGCUUCUGAGCUGCCUUGCUACAUGCUGGUAUCUGAACAAUUGUACUCUGGAAGCAUAAGUGCUCUACUCCAGAGCCAGCUCUCCAGAAUCAUAAGGCAGGUGUUCUGCAAACAGUUGUCACUCUUUUUUUGGUUUGGGGAAUGGAGAGAAGAAAAGCCUGUACUUUUAUCCACACAAAUAGUAUAUAUUAUUUUUUCCUGAA
This is a long non-coding RNA of Mus musculus (house mouse), 2615 nucleotides long. RefSeq annotates it as predicted gene 13485. The record is from RefSeq and is a predicted model, not a curated record. Lineage: Eukaryota; Metazoa; Chordata; Mammalia; Rodentia; Muridae. The transcript has 3 exons.